RNAcentral lists this transfer-messenger RNA (346 nucleotides) under Patescibacteria group bacterium. It matches the Rfam family "transfer-messenger RNA". Rfam says of the family: Bacterial tmRNA, also known as 10Sa RNA or SsrA, is named for its dual tRNA and mRNA-like properties. Its role is to liberate the mRNA from a stalled ribosome. RNAcentral also lists the same sequence under 1 other name. The record is from RNAcentral.
GGGAGUGGUCUAGGCUUCGACGAAAGGUUGAAACUAGAUAAGCAAGCAGAGUUCAAACUCUUUAAAAUUUGAAACAACCGAUAAACGGCAACGUUAAUCGAACUCCAGCAUUAGCUUACGCUUAAAUGCUGCAUCGGCGGCUGAUGCUCGUUAGGUCAUCACCGGUGUUAAACAGCGAGCUUAGUUUCUUAGUUGUCGGGACUAGGAAAUAAAAAUUAACCGACAAAGACUAAUUAGUUUUUUGCCAAGAAUGAGCUAAUUGGUCUCAAAAUUUAACUUGGCUAAGCUUGUAGAAUAUCUGGCAGAAAUAUUUCGGACAGGGGUUCAAUUCCCCUCACUUCCACCA